UGGGGAAUAUUGCACAAUGGGCGCAAGCCUGAUGCAGCGACGCCGCGUGGGGGAUGACGGCCUUCGGGUUGUAAACUCCUUUCGCCAGGGACGAAGCGUUUUGUGACGGUACCUGGAGAAGAAGCACCGGCUAACUACGUGCCAGCAGCCGCGGUAAUACGUAGGGUGCAAGCGUUGUCCGGAAUUACUGGGCGUAAAGAGCUCGUAGGUGGUUUGUCGCGUCGUCUGUGAAAUUCCACAGCUUAACUGUGGGCGUGCAGGCGAUACGGGCAUAACUUGAGUACUGUAGGGGUAACUGGAAUUCCUGGUGUAGCGGUGAAAUGCGCAGAUAUCAGGAGGAACACCGAUGGCGAAGGCAGGUUACUGGGCGGUUACUGACGCUGAGGAGCGAAAGCAUGGGUAGCAAACAGGAUUAGAUACCCUGGUAGUCCAUGCCGUAAACGGUGGGCGCUAGGUGUAGGGGCCUUUUGGGGUUUCUGUGCCGUAGCUAACGCAUUAAGCGCCCCGCCUGGGGAGUACGGCCGCAAGGCUA
RNAcentral lists this ribosomal RNA (532 nucleotides) under uncultured bacterium. RNAcentral describes it as "bacterial SSU rRNA". It matches the Rfam family "Bacterial small subunit ribosomal RNA", at positions 355 to 896 of the family's 1533-position model. The record is from RNAcentral.